CCAGGUUCUUGUGAUAUCAUAUAAUGGCAAUUGUGAUGUGUGUAACAGUACAGAAGGAUCGUGUUAUAGAAAGACAGAUAUUUGCAUAUUUAAUGGCGAUUGUUAUCACGAAGAUAGUGAUGAAUGCCAGACAGACGUCUAUCAAGUGGACAAUACGGGUGUUAUAAUCGGUGCUGUGGUUGGGUGUGUGGUGGCCAUCGCUGUCAUCGCCACUGUCGCCAUUCUAUACAAAAAAAAGAGCGCAAUAACGAGAGUUCACUCUCUGAAAGAUUUGAAGACUUCCGAAGAAACGUCUGCCACUCUUACAAAAGUCCGCUCCCUUAGCGGCGAGCAAAGUACCCUAGGCAUUGGUACAACUACUACGGAUGAAAAUACAGGUGCACUGUUAACACCGAUUGAGGCCUAUGAAAUGUCGUUGAUAUAAUUAAGUCAGCCACAAUGCACAAUUUCCACGUCACGAGAAAUCGAACAUUAUAAUACUAGCACACAGCCUACAGUAUAUCUGGAUUGAUGCUCGCCCAAUUUUAUAUUUUAUAGUUAUUAUAUAUACUGUAUUUAUACUAGUAAUAAG
This is a long non-coding RNA of Saccoglossus kowalevskii, 571 nucleotides long. Lineage: Eukaryota; Metazoa; Hemichordata; Enteropneusta; Harrimaniidae. The record is from RefSeq and is a predicted model, not a curated record.